RNAcentral lists this ribosomal RNA (245 nucleotides) under uncultured bacterium. Its description in RNAcentral is "partial 16S ribosomal RNA". It matches the Rfam family "Bacterial small subunit ribosomal RNA", at positions 524 to 768 of the family's 1533-position model. The record is from RNAcentral.
GACGAGGGGUCCUAGCGUUGUUCGGAAUCACUGGGCGUAAAGCGUUUGUAGGCGGCUCUAUAAGUCGGAUGUGAAAUCCCAUGGCUCAACCAUGGAAGUGCAUUCGAAACUGCAGAGCUUGAAUAUGGAAGAGGAGAGUAGAAUUCCUGGUGUAGUGGUGAAAUACGUAGAUAUCAGGAGGAAUACCGGAGGCGAAGGCGGCUCUCUGGUCCAAUAUUGACGCUGAGAAACGAAAGUGCGGGGAU